AGAGUUUGAUCCUGGCUCAGGACGAACGCUGGCGGCGCGCCUAACACAUGCAAGUCGAACGGGACCAUUUUAGAGUUUACUUUGGAAUGGUUUAGUGGCGGACGGGUGAGUAACACGUGAGCAACCUACCUUUCAGAGGGGGAUAACAGUUGGAAACGACUGCUAAUACCGCAUAACGUUGUAAAAGGGCAUCCAUUUACAACCAAAAGAGAAAUCUGCUGAAAGAUGGGCUCGCGGCCGAUUAGAUAGUAGGCGGGGUAACGGCCCACCUAGUCAACGAUCGGUAGCCGGACUGAGAGGUUGAACGGCCACAUUGGGACUGAGACACGGCCCAGACUCCUACGGGAGGCAGCAGUCGGGAAUAUUGCGCAAUGGAGGAAACUCUGACGCAGUGACGCCGCGUAUAGGAAGAAGGUUUUCGGAUUGUAAACUAUUGUCCACAGGGAAGAAAAAAGACUGUACCUGUGAAGAAAGCUCCGGCUAACUACGUGCCAGCAGCCGCGGUAAUACGUAGGGAGCAAGCGUUAUCCGGAUUUAUUGGGUGUAAAGGGUGCAUAGACGGGAUUACAAGUUGGUUGUGAAACCCCUCAGCUCAACUGAGGAACUGCAACCAAAACUAUAAUUCUUGAGUGCAGGAGAGGAAAGUGGAAUUCCUAGUGUAGCGGUGAAAUGCGUAGAUAUUAGGAAGAACACCGGUGGCGAAGGCGACUUUCUGGACUGUAACUGACGUUGAGGCACGAAAGUGUGGGGAGCAAACAGGAUUAGAUACCCUGGUAGUCCACACUGUAAACGAUGGAUACUAGGUGUAGGAGGUAUUAAGCCUUCUGUGCCGUCGCUAACGCAGUAAGUAUCCCACCUGGGGAGUACGACCGCAAGGUUGAAACUCAAAGGAAUUGACGGGGGCCCGCACAAGCAGUGGAGUAUGUGGUUUAAUUCGAAGCAACGCGAAGAACCUUACCAGGGCUUGACAUACAGAUGAAUGUCUAAGAGAUUAGGCAGUAUUUCGGUACAUCUGUACAGGUGGUGCAUGGUUGUCGUCAGCUCGUGUCGUGAGAUGUUAGGUUAAGUCCUGCAACGAGCGCAACCCCUAUACUUAGUUGCCAGCAUGUAAAGAUGGGAACUCUAGGUAGACUGCCGGUGAUAAAUCGGAGGAAGGUGGGGACGACGUCAAAUCAUCAUGCCCUUUAUGUCCUAGGCUACACACGUACUACAAUGGCUAUAACAAAGAGAAGCGAGACGGAGACGUUAAGCGAAACCCAAAAAAGUAGUCUCAGUUCGGAUUGAAGGCUGAAAUUCGCCUUCAUGAAGCCGGAAUUGCUAGUAAUGGCAGGUCAGCAUACUGCCGUGAAUACGUUCCCGGGCCU
RNAcentral lists this ribosomal RNA (1364 nucleotides) under uncultured bacterium. RNAcentral's name for it is "16S ribosomal RNA". It matches the Rfam family "Bacterial small subunit ribosomal RNA", at positions 8 to 1381 of the family's 1533-position model. The record is from RNAcentral.